GCAGAUCCAUUUUCUGCCACCGAAUACAUUAGCAUGGGAUAAUGGAAUAGGACCCUGUCCUCCUAUUUUCAGUUGGUUUUGGCAGCGCGAGGACUAGGGUAAUGAUUAAUAGGGAUAGUUGGGGGCAUUAAUAUUUAAUUGUCAGAGGUGAAAUUCUUGGAUUUAUGAAAGAUUAACUUCUGCGAAAGCAUCUGCCAAGGAUGUUUUCAUUAAUCAAGAACGAAAGUUAGGGGAUCGAAGACGAUCAGAUACCGUCGUAGUCUUAACCAUAAACGAUGCCGACCAGCGAUUAGGAGACGUUGAAUACAAAACACCACCAUCGGUUGCGGCCGUCCUUGGCGUCUCGGUUUCGGCCGGGGCGCGGGGAUGGCUUAGCCCGGUGGCACCGGGGAAUGACUCCCCUAGCAGCUUGUGAAA
Molecule: ribosomal RNA, 417 nt
Filed under: Acanthamoeba culbertsoni
Lineage: Eukaryota; Discosea; Longamoebia; Acanthamoebidae
Description: SSU rRNA
Rfam family: Eukaryotic small subunit ribosomal RNA
Source: RNAcentral